AACAACCUGCCACUCUGCUCUGUGUGCUGCUCCCUUCAAGGGCACAGGGAAAUGCAAAAAACCCUGCAGUUCCUCAGGGGCAGGGUUUGACAUGACCCUCAGAUCCUCACUUAGCCAAACUGCCCAGCGCUUUGAUGGGAGUAUGUAUGAGGAGUCAGAGAGUUUGACUCACUUGGUCUUGUUGCUGCUUGUUCCUCCACCCACAAAAAUCAGCUGUUUUCAGUCCCACGCUUUAUCCUGGUUUGUAAAUAAUAGUCACCUGGGAAGAAGUGCAUUUGCCUCCUACCUGAUGGAGGCCCCAGGAGUCCUUCAUUUCUCUGAUAGCUAAACUGUUCCUAAGUGCAAAAGGGGGAGAGGGAAUAA
Molecule: long non-coding RNA, 363 nt
Organism: Empidonax traillii (willow flycatcher)
Lineage: Eukaryota; Metazoa; Chordata; Aves; Passeriformes; Tyrannidae
Exons: 3
Source: RefSeq, a predicted model, not a curated record